RNAcentral lists this ribosomal RNA (253 nucleotides) under uncultured bacterium. Its description in RNAcentral is "partial 16S ribosomal RNA". It matches the Rfam family "Bacterial small subunit ribosomal RNA", at positions 524 to 776 of the family's 1533-position model. The record is from RNAcentral.
UACGUAGGUGGCAAGCGUUGUCCGGAAUUAUUGGGCGUAAAGCGCGCGCAGGCGGUCCUUUAAGUCUGAUGUGAAAGCCCACGGCUCAACCGUGGAGGGUCAUUGGAAACUGGGGGACUUGAGUACAGAAGAGAAGAGUGGAAUUCCACGUGUAGCGGUGAAAUGCGUAGAGAUGUGGAGGAACACCAGUGGCGAAGGCGACUCUUUGGUCUAUAACUGACGCUGAGGCGCGAAAGCGUGGGGAGCAAACAGG